UGAAAAGAAAUAUAAUACAAAUAUAUGAAAUUUAUUUCAUUUUUAUGAAAAAAUGUAAAAAAAAAACAUUUUCUUAGUGAAUGUUUGUUUUAUUGAAUUGCCUAAUAAUAAACAUGAACAGAAUUUUUAUAAAUGUGUAUAAAAUUUAUAAAAUUUUUUUGAAAAAGAUAUGCAAUAGAUAAAUAAUAUAAACAAAUACUAAAUAUUAUAUAUUACAUUCUUUUACUAUACAGUAGAACGGGUUGGCAACUUACAACCCACAGGUCACCGAGUGACCCACGGCAACAUUUGAAGCGAUCCAUCAAAGAAUUUGAUUGCAAUUAGAUUUGCACUUGUUAGUUUAAAAUUGAAUUCUAAAGAAAAAUUUUUAAUACGUCACUGACAGAUUACAUGGGGGCAGUGACAGUUCAACCACACCUAUACUUUGAAUGUGGACUGACUGAACACAUUUUGAUCUGUUGCACAACUACAUCAACCCAGUCCCAAAAUGUGAACUUUCAAUAUACUAAAGUCUGACCUGGGGUAAAAAAGGUUGCCAAUCACUCAGUAGAAUAUAAAAGAAACAAAAGAAUAUAAAUAUAUACAAGAAAUUUUACUGUAUUCUAUAUUCAAUAAAUAUAUACAAAUACCAUACCAUAUAAGUUAAACUAUUCCAAGUUAAUAAUUUAUCCUUGUUUCAAGGAUUACCAUACCAAGAUAAACAUUCAAUGAUACUUUACAUUCUUCAUGAUAAUAUUUUAUUUCUCUAUGCUUAUUUUUGCUGUAAUACAAUUUGCACCAUUGAAAUAUAAUUUUUCUCUCUUGCAUGGCAGAAAAAUGCCUUUCUCUGUCAGAAAGUUUAUCUUAUUGUUUCCUGCCUCCUGUUGGUUUUGGAACAUGAUUUUGUAAUAUUGACUGAAUUAUACAUCAUGCCAGAAGUUAGCAAGGAGCACUUGGUGAUUAUAGGAUUUAUAUAUAAUUGAAACAAUGAAUAUACCAGUGACUAGCAUAUAGAAAAAACUUUUAUAUUACUUAACAGAUUUUUGCAUGGAAGAAUAGACAUGGUUAAUGCUAUCACAACAAUUUACCCUCCCAUGUAUUUAUGCUAUUCGAUAAUACAAGGUUUAUAUAUCAUUUCUUCAGUUUCCUUAUCUUUCUUUCCUGUUGGCUUGAAUGUACUAACAAACACAGUAAUAAUUAUAUAUAUUUCUUUUUUGUUCUUCUGGGUAGACUUGAAUAUCUUUUUAGAAGCUUCUAUUUCAUCAAGUUUUGUUGUUGGGAAAGUUUUGGACAUGCCUGAUCUGUUUUUCACAUGUACAUUUGUUCAUUGAGUAAUUUCCUGACAAGUGUUGAUCUUGAGAAAAACAGUUGACAUACUCUGUAAUUUUCCCCAAGGAGAGGUUCCAUCAAAAUUAGUUUUUUUUUUUUCCUUUUUAGUUGUUUUGUUCCUAUGCAUAAAAUAAAGUUCCACACAGCUAAGACUUGCAAAUCAUUCAUAACUUUUGAUGAUGAACUUAACUCAUUUUGAUGGAAUAUACUGUUUGAAUCUGAGCCAGUCUUUGACUUGUCUAUACAGACAUGAGUGAAAUGACAAUACUGCCCCAUAUUUUGGUAAAUGACCGAAAAUAUGAAAAUUUACUUAUUGCAAAUAUUUGCUAAUAAAACUAAUGUAAUUCUUCUGUGGAUUGCUGUAUCUUUAAUAAAAUUAUCUAAGAAUUGCCUAUUGAAAACAAUAUCAUGCCAAUUUAUUUUAGCUCUAUAUUUAAUUAUGAAUGCUUCUGAUAAAUUUUGAGGUUUUGCCAUCUCAUUCCAAUUAGUAAAAUCUUUCAGUUGUUCAAUUGUUUUUUCUGAUACUUUUUCACGUCUAGCAAUCAAUGUUAUAUCAAGCAAUGUUGCAAAUGGGUCUUUAUUAAACAUUUC
This 1899-nucleotide long non-coding RNA is filed under the name Androctonus crassicauda. Lineage: Eukaryota; Metazoa; Arthropoda; Arachnida; Scorpiones; Buthidae. The record is from RNAcentral.